CUUGCUUCUCUUGAGAGCGGCGGACGGGUGAGUAAUGCCUAGGAAUCUGCCUGGUAGUGGGGGAUAACGUCCGGAAACGGACGCUAAUACCGCAUACGUCCUACGGGAGAAAGCAGGGGACCUUCGGGCCUUGCGCUAUCAGAUGAGCCUAGGUCGGAUUAGCUAGUUGGUGGGGUAAUGGCUCACCAAGGCGACGAUCCGUAACUGGUCUGAGAGGAUGAUCAGUCACACUGGAACUGAGACACGGUCCAGACUCCUACGGGAGGCAGCAGUGGGGAAUAUUGGACAAUGGGCGAAAGCCUGAUCCAGCCAUGCCGCGUGUGUGAAGAAGGUCUUCGGAUUGUAAAGCACUUUAAGUUGGGAGGAAGGGCAGUAAAUUAAUACUUUGCUGUUUUGACGUUACCGACAGAAUAAGCACUGGCUAACUCUGUGCCAGCAGCCGCGGUAAUACAGAGGGUGCAAGCGUUAAUCGGAAUUACUGGGCGUAAAGCGCGCGUAGGUGGUUCGUUAAGUUGGAUGUGAAAUCCCCGGGCUCAACCUGGGAACUGCAUUCAAAACUGACGAGCUAGAGUAUGGUAGAGGGUGGUGGAAUUUCCUGUGUAGCGGUGAAAUGCGUAGAUAUAGGAAGGAACACCAGUGGCGAAGCGACCACCUGGACUGAUACUGACACUGAGGUGCGAAAGCGUGGGGAGCAAACAAGAUUAGAUACCCUGGUAGUCCACGCCGUAAACGAAUGUCAACUAGCCGGUUGGGAGCCCUUGAGCUCUUAGUGGCGCAGCUAA
This 782-nucleotide ribosomal RNA is filed under the name uncultured bacterium. RNAcentral describes it as "bacterial SSU rRNA". It matches the Rfam family "Bacterial small subunit ribosomal RNA", at positions 79 to 855 of the family's 1533-position model. The record is from RNAcentral.